RNAcentral lists this ribosomal RNA (1864 nucleotides) under Salmonella enterica subsp. enterica. RNAcentral describes it as "partial 23S ribosomal RNA". It matches the Rfam family "Bacterial large subunit ribosomal RNA", at positions 161 to 2049 of the family's 2925-position model. RNAcentral also lists the same sequence under 1 other name. Lineage: Bacteria; Pseudomonadati; Pseudomonadota; Gammaproteobacteria; Enterobacterales; Enterobacteriaceae. The record is from RNAcentral.
AAUCCAUAGGUUAAUGAGGCGAACCGGGGGAACUGAAACAUCUAAGUACCCCGAGGAAAAGAAAUCAACCGAGAUUCCCCCAGUAGCGGCGAGCGAACGGGGAGGAGCCCAGAGCCUGAAUCAGCAUGUGUGUUAGUGGAAGCGUCUGGAAAGGCGCGCGAUACAGGGUGACAGCCCCGUACACAAAAGCGCAUGUGCUGUGAGCUCGAUGAGUAGGGCGGGACACGUGGUAUCCUGUCUGAAUAUGGGGGGACCAUCCUCCAAGGCUAAAUACUCCUGACUGACCGAUAGUGAACCAGUACCGUGAGGGAAAGGCGAAAAGAACCCCGGCGAGGGGAGUGAAAAAGAACCUGAAACCGUGUACGUACAAGCAGUGGGAGCACCCUUUGGGUGUGACUGCGUACCUUUUGUAUAAUGGGUCAGCGACUUAUAUUCUGUAGCAAGGUUAACCGAAUAGGGGAGCCGGAGGGAAACCGAGUCUUAACCGGGCGUUAAGUUGCAGGGUAUAGACCCGAAACCCGGUGAUCUAGCCAUGGGCAGGUUGAAGGUUGGGUAACACUAACUGGAGGACCGAACCGACUAAUGUUGAAAAAUUAGCGGAUGACCUGUGGCUGGGGGUGAAAGGCCAAUCAAACCGGGAGAUAGCUGGUUCUCCCCGAAAGCUAUUUAGGUAGCGCCUCGUGAAUUCAUCUCCGGGGGUAGAGCACUGUUUCGGCUAGGGGGCCAUCCCGGCUUACCAACCCGAUGCAAACUGCGAAUACCGGAGAAUGUUAUCACGGGAGACACACGGCGGGUGCUAACGUCCGUCGUGAAGAGGGAAACAACCCAGACCGCCAGCUAAGGUCCCAAAGUCAUGGUUAAGUGGGAAACGAUGUGGGAAGGCCCAGACAGCCAGGAUGUUGGCUUAGAAGCAGCCAUCAUUUAAAGAAAGCGUAAUAGCUCACUGGUCGAGUCGGCCUGCGCGGAAGAUGUAACGGGGCUAAACCAUGCACCGAAGCUGCGGCAGCGACACUGUGUGUUGUUGGGUAGGGGAGCGUUCUGUAAGCCUGUGAAGGUGUGUCGUGAGGCAUGCUGGAGGUAUCAGAAGUGCGAAUGCUGACAUAAGUAACGAUAAAGCGGGUGAAAAGCCCGCUCGCCGGAAGACCAAGGGUUCCUGUCCAACGUUAAUCGGGGCAGGGUGAGUCGACCCCUAAGGCGAGGCCGAAAGGCGUAGUCGAUGGGAAACGGGUUAAUAUUCCCGUACUUGGUGUUACUGCGAAGGGGGGACGGAGAAGGCUAUGUUGGCCGGGCGACGGUUGUCCCGGUUUAAGCGUGUAGGUGUGUGUUCCAGGUAAAUCCGGUUCACUUUAACACUGAGGCGUGACGACGAGGCACUACGGUGCUGAAGCAACAAAUGCCCUGCUUCCAGGAAAAGCCUCUAAGCAUCAGGUAACAUCAAAUCGUACCCCAAACCGACACAGGUGGUCAGGUAGAGAAUACCAAGGCGCUUGAGAGAACUCGGGUGAAGGAACUAGGCAAAAUGGUGCCGUAACUUCGGGAGAAGGCACGCUGACACGUAGGUGAAGUGAUUUACUCAUGGAGCUGAAGUCAGUCGAAGAUACCAGCUGGCUGCAACUGUUUAUUAAAAACACAGCACUGUGCAAACACGAAAGUGGACGUAUACGGUGUGACGCCUGCCCGGUGCCGGAAGGUUAAUUGAUGGGGUCAGCGCAAGCGAAGCUCCUGAUCGAAGCCCCGGUAAACGGCGGCCGUAACUAUAACGGUCCUAAGGUAGCGAAAUUCCUUGUCGGGUAAGUUCCGACCUGCACGAAUGGCGUAAUGAUGGCCAGGCUGUCUCCACCCGAGACUCAGUGAAAUUGAACUC